Long non-coding RNA from Populus euphratica (Euphrates poplar), 1739 nucleotides. RefSeq lists it as uncharacterized. The record is from RefSeq and is a predicted model, not a curated record. Lineage: Eukaryota; Viridiplantae; Streptophyta; Magnoliopsida; Malpighiales; Salicaceae. The transcript is spliced from 2 exons.
GCUUAACUGGCCCUCUAUUGAUCAUUUUAGCUUGCAAAACCAAACUGUUUAAAUGGUUAAACAUUAUAGAUAUUUUCAGUCCUUUUUGACUACUAGCUAUAAUGAGUAUUUACACGAUCUUUUUGAACAGAUUUAGUUAUUAAUAAUAACAUCCUUACUACAUCGAUUGCAGCAUGACUGUUAUUGUGUCCAAAGAAUUGCCCUUGUGUAUUGAUCUUCUGGUUUCUAUUUUACUGUCCUAAAUCUAGACCAUGUAGAUUGAUACUGCCUAGGCUGUACUAAUGAGAAUAGAUGGAUACUGUCACUGGGACUAUACGGCUUUGUAGUUAAGUAGUUUCCAGUUAUUUAAUUGUGAUCCCAUCAUUGUGUGAAAAAGGCAAAGGCAUGAUACAUCUUUAUGAUUCUAUCAUGAACAAAAUCUUUAGAUUCAGUGGUUUUACUAGCAACUCAGAUUUGAAUAGAGAUGAUUGCGAGUUGAAUCAAGUUAUUUAGAUGCAUCUUAACAGCUAAGUCUUUUUAUUUAAAUGAGAAAAAGAAAUUAAGAAAUUGUUGGACCAUAUUUAAAUGGGACAGUUCAAACCUCUAUAAGUACAACUAGAAUUUUAGACCUGGCGAUUUAAUGGUGCUAGAAGCAACAAGCGUCUUCCAACUACGAACUAAGCAAGACUACCAGGUUCUUUUAUGAGUUGUUGAUGGUUGAUGAGGUUUCAAGGGUCCAUUAGAAGUAGACAGCUUCCAUAUAGACUUGUUGCAAGCACUGGUGCUGGUGUUUAGGUAACAGGUAUCCAGGUGGUUCCUUAUUGUGUCCUGCCUGUUGUCAAUGCUGUCCAAAAAUACUUUGAUGCUGUAGGUCAUCGGUUGCACCUUUUCAUUAGUAUCACUUGCAGGCAUUGCUUAUCAUAUUGAGUUCUCAAGUGGUCCAGUUAGCUCAACUGUCUGUUAUGCAGCAUGCCUUUUUUCUCCUUUUUGCCCUUUUCUUUUCUGGGAAAAGCUAAAAUAGCAGAUGAUUUGGAAUUAAAGGAAGUCCUUAUAUCAUUGAUAUAGGUUCUUAGAUUUCUGUAUGAUAGAAUUAGUUAUGGAUCCCCAGUUAUAUUUCAGAAGAGUAUAACUUUGUCAAUUGAAGGGCUUUAAAUUGCACUUGAACUUGUCCUUGUGAUUAGUAUUGUUUAUAUAGCUCUUUUUAUUUUUAUUAUUAUCUGCCCCCACUUCCCACGAAAAUAGAAGGCUUUUUGCUAGCACUAUGCCGAGAAUGGGUUGUGAUUAGACUGAUUUGACUGGUGGGCUGUAAAAGGAUUAUUGCAGGCAGGAAUGGUCAAGACACUGAGUAAGGAGAUGACAGCCUUGAGGUUGCCCUUGGCCAGCUUAAUUUUCUCAGUACUGGGCCUAGGUUUGCUAUUGUGGGUUGGGUAUGGUCAGUUCUGGAUAACUGCAUGUCUGGAUCCUCUAUCAUUUUGCACCAAUUGAAGCGAACGCCAAAAGAAUAACAUUGGAGAUUCUUUACAGAACCCCCAAUCACCUUCCCCCCACUGCACACACGAAAAAGAAAGCAUAAUGUGGGAUUUGAUUCAUAAUAAUGAGGUCAACGCUAUAAAGUUAGGACUUGCUUGGUUCAGGUCAACGCUGUCAUGCUCAUUCUCUGUUUGGCUAGCCUCUCUUAUGGCUGCUGCCACCAUUUCCAGAUGUCCAUUUUGCAGCCUUGGCCACUCUUUUGCUCCUCAGGUGGAGCAGUUAUGAUACUC